AUCUGUAUGUCAUACCAGUGUCUCCACACUCUUUGGUUAAGAGGACAACCAACCCAUAUGGCCUACAGCGACCUAUGCUCGAUAGAAGCUGUCAUCCUUAUUAACAGCCUAUCAUUUGGUCGUGAACAGUUUUAAGGACUAAUCGAUAAAUCCUCUCUUUAUCGAACUUAAAUAGUCCUAAGGACUUCAUCAUAACAAUGGAGUUCAUUAGAAGAUGAAAGCUUAUGAUGAAGAUGCCAAAUAUAUAUUUUAUUUAUUAACAAAUCAAUUACAA
This 274-nucleotide long non-coding RNA is filed under the name Elaeis guineensis (African oil palm). RNAcentral's name for it is "long non-coding RNA (EGUI_LNC065292)". The record is from RNAcentral. Lineage: Eukaryota; Viridiplantae; Streptophyta; Magnoliopsida; Arecales; Arecaceae.